RNAcentral lists this ribosomal RNA (449 nucleotides) under uncultured bacterium. RNAcentral describes it as "bacterial SSU rRNA". It matches the Rfam family "Bacterial small subunit ribosomal RNA", at positions 355 to 796 of the family's 1533-position model. The record is from RNAcentral.
UGGGGAAUAUUGGACAAUGGGGGCAACCCUGAUCCAGCGACGCCGCGUGUGUGAAGAAGGCCUGCGGGUUGUAAAGCACUUUUAGUGGGGAUGAAAAGCCGAAGGCUAAUACCUUUCGGUCUUGACCUAACCCACAGAAAAAGCACCGGCUAACUCUGUGCCAGCAGCCGCGGUAAUACAGAGGGUGCAAGCGUUAAUCGGAAUUACUGGGCGUAAAGCGUGCGUAGACGGUUAUUUAAGUCAGGUGUGAAAGCCCAGGGCUCAACCUUGGAAUUGCAUUUGAGACUGAAUAGCUAGGGUGCGGAAGAGGGAAGCGGAAUUUCCGGUGUAGCGGUGAAAUGCGUAGAUAUCGGAAGGAACACCAGUGGCGAAAGCGGCUUCCUGGUCCAGCACCGACGUUCAGGCACGAAAGCGUGGGGAGCAAACAGGAUUAGAUACCCCUGUAGUCC